This 68-nucleotide transfer RNA is filed under the name Loxodonta africana (African savanna elephant). It matches the Rfam family "tRNA". Rfam says of the family: Transfer RNA (tRNA) molecules are approximately 80 nucleotides in length. Their secondary structure includes four short double-helical elements and three loops (D, anti-codon, and T loops). Further hydrogen bonds mediate the characteristic L-shaped molecular structure. tRNAs have two regions of fundamental functional importance: the anti-codon, which is responsible for specific mRNA codon recognition, and the 3' end, to which the tRNAs corresponding amino acid is attached (by aminoacyl-tRNA synthetases). tRNAs cope with the degeneracy of the genetic code in two manners: having more than one tRNA (with a specific anti-codon) for a particular amino acid; and 'wobble' base-pairing, i.e. permitting non-standard base-pairing at the 3rd anti-codon position. Lineage: Eukaryota; Metazoa; Chordata; Mammalia; Proboscidea; Elephantidae. The record is from Rfam by way of RNAcentral.
GUGGUGGUUCAGUGGUAGAAUUCUCACCUUCCACGCGGGAGACCUGGGCUCAAGUCCUGGCCAACACA